This is a non-coding RNA of Podarcis muralis (Common wall lizard), 74 nucleotides long. The record is from the annotation of a RefSeq genome assembly. NCBI's taxonomy places the organism in Eukaryota, Metazoa, Chordata, Lepidosauria, Squamata, Lacertidae.
GCCAUAGGUGGCUCAGUUGGUAGGGCAUGAGACUCUUAAUCUCCAGGUCGUGGGUUUGAGCCCCACCUUGGGCA